Molecule: unclassified non-coding RNA, 312 nt
Filed under: plant metagenome
Description: partial contains 5.8S ribosomal RNA, internal transcribed spacer 2, and large subunit ribosomal RNA
Rfam family: 5.8S ribosomal RNA (bases 1-105)
Source: RNAcentral
GAAAUGCGAUAAGUAGUGUGAAUUGCAGAAUUCCGUGAAUCAUCGAAUCUUUGAACGCACAUUGCGCCCUCUGGCAUUCCGGGGGGCAUGCCUGUCCGAGCGUCAUUAUGCACCCUCAAGCCCGGCUUGUGUGAUGGGCCCCGGCGUCUCGUUCGCGAGACGGGCCCGAAAGGCAGCGGCGGCGUCGACCCGAUGAGCCCGAGCGUAUGGGGACUUCUGUCACACGUUCGCGGUGCGGACCGGCGCCUGCUUGACUUUUCUGAUUAUCCAGGUUGACCUCGGAUCAGGUAGGGAUACCCGCUGAACUUAAGC